This 301-nucleotide ribosomal RNA is filed under the name uncultured bacterium. RNAcentral describes it as "partial 16S ribosomal RNA". It matches the Rfam family "Bacterial small subunit ribosomal RNA", at positions 509 to 807 of the family's 1533-position model. The record is from RNAcentral.
CAGUCGCCGCGGUAAUACGUAGGGCGCAAGCGUUAUCCGGAAUUAUUGGGCGUAAAGAGCUCGUAGGCGGUUUGUCGCGUCUGCCGUGAAAGUCCGGGGCUCAACCCCGGAUCUGCGGUGGGUACGGGCAGACUAGAGUGAUGUAGGGGAGACUGGAAUUCCUGGUGUAGCGGUGAAAUGCGCAGAUAUCAGGAGGAACACCGAUGGCGAAGGCAGGUCUCUGGGCAUUAACUGACGCUGAGGAGCGAAAGCAUGGGGAGCGAACAGGAUUAGAUACCCGCGUAGUCCCUGUCUCUUAUAC